RNAcentral lists this ribosomal RNA (232 nucleotides) under uncultured bacterium. RNAcentral describes it as "partial 16S ribosomal RNA". It matches the Rfam family "Bacterial small subunit ribosomal RNA", at positions 102 to 334 of the family's 1533-position model. The record is from RNAcentral.
CACGGGUGAGUAACACGUAUCCAACCUGCCGUCUACUCUUGGACAGCCUUCUGAAGGAAGAUUAAUACAAGAUGGCAUCAUGAGUCCGCAUGUUCACAUGAUUAAAGGUGUUCCGGUAGACGAUGGGGAUGCGUUCCAUUAGAUAGUAGGCGGGGUAACGGCCCACCUAGUCUUCGAUGGAUAGGGGUUCUGAGAGGAAGGUCCCCCACAUUGGAACUGAGACACGGUCCAA